Molecule: unclassified non-coding RNA, 217 nt
Filed under: Hevea brasiliensis (rubber tree)
Lineage: Eukaryota; Viridiplantae; Streptophyta; Magnoliopsida; Malpighiales; Euphorbiaceae
Source: RNAcentral
GUUGGGCUUUAAUUAGAGGGCAUCCACGACAGUUCUGUGUGCAGGGUAUGUUGUUAUAGAAGAGAGGCUGUGCUUGGAUGGGCUCUUGUCGCCACUUAGUUGCCGACAAUGAUUUGGCUUCGUCUGGAUUCAGGAUCCUUGGUGGCGGCUAAUCUUGUUCAGUGUUCCCAUCUUAGUGUCUAUGAUUUCUAGGCUUUGGUUUGGGUUUGUCUGGAGG